UCCAGUCGACUCAAACCAAAAAAAAAUAAAAAAUAAAAAAAAAACAAUUCGAUUUUUAAAAUAAUUUAACUUGGGUUAAAAAAACGAAUUUUAAUCAGGAAAAUAUAAAUUUCACUUUUAAAAUUAAACUUUUCAUAAAUUGUUAAAGAGAUGAGGGUGACUAAACUAUAAAAGGACUGAAGACCGAAGAAUGAGAAGAUGCCGUAGUCUUCUGAGCCAAGAUAAAAAAAUUAAAUAAACUAGUGGACAACAACAGACAACUUUUCAUCUGAGAAGACUCUAAGAAAAAUAAAAUAAAAGGAUCUACUGAGAAUCAGCUGAAAGGACUUUCGAGAACGCUCCCGCAUUACGAGUCUUCUUCCAACCUACAUCUCCAAGCAAGGGCUAAAUUGUUCGGCUUUGUGAAUACCUUAAUAGAUUUUCCACAGACUCAAACUGUUAAGCCUUUCUUGUAUUUUAAAUGUUUUUGGUGUGAAUUACCAUGUGGCAACGCGAUACCGAAACCAUACCAUCAGUCAUCGGGACUCACAGGCAGACAUCACCAAAUAUUAUAAAAACUAAGCAAAGUUAAAAAAAACUAAAAAAAUCAAAAAAUAAAAAAAUUUAAAUUUAAACUAAACUG
This is a long non-coding RNA of Episyrphus balteatus (marmalade hoverfly), 622 nucleotides long. RefSeq lists it as uncharacterized. The transcript is spliced from 3 exons. The record is from RefSeq and is a predicted model, not a curated record. NCBI's taxonomy places the organism in Eukaryota, Metazoa, Arthropoda, Insecta, Diptera, Syrphidae.